Triticum dicoccoides is the source of this 715-nucleotide long non-coding RNA. RefSeq lists it as uncharacterized. NCBI's taxonomy places the organism in Eukaryota, Viridiplantae, Streptophyta, Magnoliopsida, Poales, Poaceae. The record is from RefSeq and is a predicted model, not a curated record. The transcript is spliced from 2 exons.
GGCACCUGAUUCACUUCCCUUCCUCUUUUUCUCUCCCACUACUAACCCUAGCCGCCGCCCGACGCCCGCCGCUGUGGCCCGAUGCCCCGUGAGACGUGAGCCCGUGACGAUUGACGACUGCGGCACCGAGGCGCGCCGCGCGCCGCGCGCCCUGACCGAUGAAGACUGGCGCCCACAGCGGCGACCCUGACCGGUGAAGAGCGGUGCCCCGAGCGGCAGUCCUGACCAGGGAAGACCGGCGCCCCGCGUCGACAACCCCGACCCCCCGUCGGUCGCUCCACUUCCCGCGACGCGGCCGUCCGCCACCGGUGCUGCACCUCCUGACGGCCGGUUCAACAGAUGCAGUCCAUCACCACCACCCGUCCUCUUCCACACUAUUCGCUGGCUCGCCGCCUGCUGCCAUCUUUCGGUUCUCCACAUCGCAGCUGAUGAUGUUUCCUGUACCGGAUUCUAAAUAUGAUGAGGAGUUGAAUGAGAAAGAUGCCGAAGCAAAAGGUGCCAAUCUAGAAGCUGCUCAAGAUGACAAGCCAAAAGAACAGAAGCAAAUGGCGUCAUGAAAUCUUAUUGUUGGACCAUGAAUUACGAAUCUUCUUACUUAUGAAUCUUGUCACUUGCUGUCAAGUAUAAACAUGUAUUGGUAUUUUGUUUACUUGCUGUCAAAUAUAAACAUGUAUUGCUACUGGGAGUAACUCGUUGUAGCAAUUAAUUUGGUCUG